GAACUGAAGAGUUUGAUCAUGGCUCAGAUUGAACGCUGGCGGCAGGCCUAACACAUGCAAGUCGAGCGGUAGAGAGAAGCUUGCUUCUCUUGAGAGCGGCGGACGGGUGAGUAAUGCCUAGGAAUCUGCCUGGUAGUGGGGGAUAACGUUCGGAAACGGACGCUAAUACCGCAUACGUCCUACGGGAGAAAGCAGGGGACCUUCGGGCCUUGCGCUAUCAGAUGAGYYUAGGUMGGAUUAGAUAGUUGGUGGGGUAAUGGGUGAAGAAGGUGAAGAUUCGUAAUUGGUAUGAGAGGAUGAUUAGUGAUACUGGGAGUGAGAGAUGGUCUGGAAUGUUAAGGGAG
Molecule: ribosomal RNA, 344 nt
Filed under: Pseudomonas synxantha
Lineage: Bacteria; Pseudomonadati; Pseudomonadota; Gammaproteobacteria; Pseudomonadales; Pseudomonadaceae
Description: bacterial SSU rRNA
Rfam family: Bacterial small subunit ribosomal RNA
Source: RNAcentral